AGUUGUGACAUUGCUUUAUAAAAAUAAGUUUUGUUGUUUAAUUUAAUAUAUUUCUUGGAGUCCAACACAUCAAGUGUCUUGUGUUUAUCUUCCUUUUAAUUUUUUUUUCUUAGAUUGUUUCCCUAAACCAUUUGGCAUGGUUGAGCUUAAAUAGGCCUUUCAUAAAUUGCCCAGUUAGGAUAAACAUAAGUUGUUUACAGAGCCCACUUCAAGCCCAUUUGGGCAUCCAUGGUUGAAUCCUGGUGCAAGCCCACUUUAAACCCCUUUAGGCAGGUGGGGCCCAAAUGGGUCUGACAUGAAUUACACAGAUAAGACCCUUACAGAUCCCACCUAAAACCCAUCGGGCAUCAUGGCUGGCCCCCAUGUGAAUCCCAAGUGCAAGCCCAUUUAAAACCUUUUUAGGUGGGGUCCAACUGGGUCUUUCAUGAAUUGCCCGGUUAAGACACUCAUAAGAUUCUCAAAGAUCCCACUUAAAACCCAUCUAGGCAUCCACGGCUGGCCACCAUGUAGAUCCCGGGUGGAAACCCACUUAAAACCCCUUUGGGCAGGUGGGGCCCAAAUGGGUUUGGCAUGAAUAGCCCAGUUAGUACCAUUACAGUUCCCACUUUUAGUACGUCUGGGCUUCCCCCGGCUGGCCCCAAUGUGGUUCCCGUGUGCAAGCCCAUAAUGGGGCCCACAUUUGAUGCCCAUGAAGCCCUCAUUUGGGCCCCACAUGUCAUUGCUGGCUGGGACAGAGACAGAGAUCAAGGCUGUCGUCAUAGAGGCCAAGAAGUAGUUGUCCGAAUUCUGUCACAGAGGACGUUUCUGGGAGUUUGGAAAAAAUUGUGACCUAUUAGACUCUACUAAUCCUCUUGCCAAGUUUGUAACUCUGUUAUGCUUCUCUGAUUUGAUAAAUCUGGCUUCAAAUUAAACAUCUGCACAUAUUUAGAUAUAAAUAUAAAUUAUUGCUUGUUGUUUUGACCUUAUUUAUGAUCCUUGUUUUAGGAUGAUUGCGGAGAUGCAGUCAAGGGGGUUGGUGAUUAAUAACUUACCUUCAGUCCUCCCAGAAUCAGCUCGAUCUACUACAUCUUCUGUGCCUCAAAGCUCUGGAGGUGCAGAAAGUCCAUUGUAGCCUCCAAAUGAGCCCUUAUCUGACAAGAGCUCUGGAGAGUACUACCAGAGGUACAGUUUCAAAUCGGCAUUCCCAGAAAUUAAAUGUACACUGUGGAAAUGAUUUCUCUUUAAUAUACAAAGUCAUUUUGCUCACCUGCUUUUCUAUUUCAGCACUGGUGGACCGAUGUUUACCUCUUCCGUGAGGGUGGAAGUGGUCAAAAAAGGCUUAUACAAUAAGCACUCCAUUGACCACUCCCUUCUAACAGGAUUUAAUAAAUACCUUUACACUGAUCUAGGAUAUAAAAACAGCAAACAAGUAGUGGAAACAGUGUCCAGGUUCUUGCAUUACAUGGACCCCACUGAGCCAAACUUGAUGUUUGUUCGGCAGGUGGAGAAAGUGCGAGAGUACUUUAACAUCUUGUCAGAUACAAAGCUCUCAAAAUGGACAGUGUUCAACUACUCGAAGAGUCUCAAGAGGUCAGUAAUGUGGAACCACCACAAGCUUGCCAUGUACAUGUUAACUAAUCAUGUCAGAUGUGAUGUGUUCUGACUGUAACAAACCCAUUUUUGCUCUCUUUUCAAGGUUCAUGAAAUACAUUAUUACCUCCACGGACAUUCACCACAACAAUCCAUCUCUGUUCCAGGACUGUAAGAGUUUUAUGGAUGUGCUGUAUGGGAUACAGAGUGGCAUGUCCAAAAAAGUGAGCAUGAAGGUCACAGCAAAAAAAAUCUGAGUUUGGUUGUGGCAAAGAAAUUUUGCCAAAGGACUGCCUUGCUGUUUUGGUGGCUGCAUUUAAAGAUUUCCAGGCCGUGAUAUGCAAAAUGCAGGGUCCAGGAGCCAUCACAGGGGACUGUUUGACUAAAAAUGAACGGCUUCUUGUCCUAUACUACCUGGAGGCUGUUAUCAUGCUGAAGCUAGUCCAGCGGCCUGGAAUUGUGACACACAUGACUGUUGAGGAUUGGGAGGGGAGAAGCCGGAUAGAGAAUGAUGUCUGUGUUGCAGUGAAGGAACACAAAGUACUGUUCUCACAUGAACAGGAACUUGUAAGUUUAUAUUGUCUUUUAUAUCAUAACAGCAAUAAUUAUGUUGUAUCAAAGUCAGAUUUAUUUUUGACCUUUCUUUAACUAGUGGUUUGACUUGUACUUCAAUGAGGUGCGGCCAGUAAUGCUGCAAGAAAACCGCACCAGCGACAAUGUGGCAGUUGAUUCAUUUUUUGUGUCAAGUAGUGGGAGAUCGAUUUAUAAUCCCUCCAAUGACUUUAAAAGACUACAUGACAAGUAAGCAACAUUACACCUGUCUUUAACUCUACAUGUUCAUACGUCCACUUUUUUGCCUUCUUACGAUGCCUUGUGUUUCAGAUACAGUCUCCCCAGUGUGACGUGUGGUGAUGCCCAAAGAGCAUUUGAGGCAGCAGCACAAAACCUGUCAGAAGUGGAAAGAAAUGUGGUGGCAGCUGAAAGAAUCUACAUGAGGAGAGCAUCUUCAGAUCAAUUUCUGGCUCUAAGUGUGCUAGAUCAGCUUGCUGGGAAAACACCGUAAGCAUCUAACAACUGAGAUGAUCCUUAUUUGUAAAUUUGCAACCCACAGCCUUGCCUUUCAUUCCUUCAAUAUUUAUUUUUUUUGUGAUGAAAUGAACACUGUGUUAAAUGUCAGUACUUCCAUGUCAUACACCUCUUUAACAAUAUCAUACCAUUCACCUACAGAUGGAGGAUCUUCCUUGAGCUAUUUCUUUGUAAUGGCCUUUUUGCUAGUUGUUAGUAGUGUGUUAAGAAGAUACACAUCAUUUUUGGUAUUU
This is a non-coding RNA of Danio rerio (zebrafish), 2888 nucleotides long. Lineage: Eukaryota; Metazoa; Chordata; Actinopteri; Cypriniformes; Danionidae. The record is from RefSeq and is a predicted model, not a curated record.